GACGAACGCUGGCGGCGUGCUUAACACAUGCAAGUCGAGCGGUAAGGCCCUUUCGGGGGUACACGAGCGGCGAACGGGUGAGUAACACGUGGGUGACCUGCCCUCAGCUCUGGGAUAAGCCUGGGAAACCGGGUCUAAUACCGGAUAUGACUCCAUGACGCAUGUUGUGGGGUGGAAAGCCUUGUGCGGCUGAGGAUGGGCCCGCGGCCUAUCAGCUUGUUGGUGGGGUGAUGGCCUACCAAGGCGACGACGGGUAGCCGGCCUGAGAGGGCGACCGGCCACACUGGGACUGAGACACGGCCCAGACUCCUACGGGAGGGCAGCAGUGGGGAAUCUUGCGCAAUGGGCGAAAGCCUGACGCAGCGACGCCGCGUGAGGGAUGACGGCCUC
Molecule: ribosomal RNA, 390 nt
Filed under: uncultured bacterium
Lineage: Bacteria
Description: bacterial SSU rRNA
Rfam family: Bacterial small subunit ribosomal RNA
Source: RNAcentral